This 449-nucleotide ribosomal RNA is filed under the name uncultured bacterium. RNAcentral's name for it is "partial 16S ribosomal RNA". It matches the Rfam family "Bacterial small subunit ribosomal RNA", at positions 29 to 523 of the family's 1533-position model. The record is from RNAcentral.
AACGAACGCUGGCGGCAUGCCUAACACAUGCAAGUCGAACGAGAUCUUCGGGUCUAGUGGCGCACGGGUGCGUAACGCGUGGGAAUCUGCCCUUUGGUUCGGAAUAACAGUUGGAAACGACUGCUAAUACCGGAUGAUGACGAAAGUCUAAAGAUUUAUCGCCAGAGGAUGAGCUCGCGUAGGAUUAGCUAGUUGGUGUGGUAAAGGCGCACCAAGGCGACGAUCCUUAGCUGGUCUGAGAGGAUGAUCAGCCACACUGGGACUGAGACACGGCCCAGCCUCCUACGGGGGGCAGCAGUGGGGAAUAUUGGACAAUGGGCGAAAGCCUGAUCCAGCAAUGCCGCGUGAGUGAUGAAGGCCUUAGGGUUGUAAAGCUCUUUUACCCGGGAUGAUAAUGACAGUACCGGGGGAAUAAGCUCCGGCUAACUCCGUGCCAGCAGCCGCGGUAA